RNAcentral lists this ribosomal RNA (445 nucleotides) under uncultured bacterium. Its description in RNAcentral is "partial 16S ribosomal RNA". It matches the Rfam family "Bacterial small subunit ribosomal RNA", at positions 354 to 796 of the family's 1533-position model. The record is from RNAcentral.
GUGAGGAAUAUUGGUCAAUGGACGGAAGUCUGAACCAGCCAUGCCGCGUGCAGGAAUAAGGUCCUAUGGAUUGUAAACUGCUUUUAUUCGGGAAUAAACCUCUUUACGUGUAGGGAGCUGAAGGUACCGAAGGAAUAAGCACCGGCUAACUCCGUGCCAGCAGCCGCGGUAAUACGGAGGGUGCAAGCGUUAUCCGGAAUCAUUGGGUUUAAAGGGUCCGCAGGCGGGCUAUCAAGUCAGAGGUGAAAUCCCACAGCUUAACUGUGGAACUGCCUUUGAAACUGAUGGUCUAGAAUUAAGUGGGCGUUGGCGGAAUAUGACAUGUAGCGGUGAAAUGCAUAGAUAUGUCAUGGAACACCGAAAGCGAAGGCAGCUAACGAUACUUAUAUUGACGCUCAUGGACGAAAGCGUGGGUAGCGAACAGGAUUAGAAACCCGUGUAGUCC